CGUGGGUAACCUGCCUGUAAGACUGGGAUAACUCCGGGAAACCGGGGCUAAUACCGGAUAGUUCUUUUCCUCGCAUGAGGAAAAGUGGAAAGGCGGCUUCGGCUGCCACUUACAGAUGGACCCGCGGCGCAUUAGCUAGUUGGUGAGGUAACGGCUCACCAAGGCAACGAUGCGUAGCCGACCUGAGAGGGUGAUCGGCCACACUGGGACUGAGACACGGCCCAGACUCCUACGGGAGGCAGCAGUGGUCA
This 251-nucleotide ribosomal RNA is filed under the name Bacillus sp. 138_4T. RNAcentral's name for it is "partial 16S ribosomal RNA". It matches the Rfam family "Bacterial small subunit ribosomal RNA", at positions 116 to 357 of the family's 1533-position model. Lineage: Bacteria; Bacillati; Bacillota; Bacilli; Caryophanales; Bacillaceae. The record is from RNAcentral.